Rhipicephalus sanguineus (brown dog tick) is the source of this 853-nucleotide long non-coding RNA. RefSeq lists it as uncharacterized. NCBI's taxonomy places the organism in Eukaryota, Metazoa, Arthropoda, Arachnida, Ixodida, Ixodidae. The record is from RefSeq and is a predicted model, not a curated record. The transcript has 3 exons.
CGGCUCGUGUUCGUCACUUGUGAUCUCUCUUGCUCUUAUUUCGUGUUCAGCGACUGAUUUGAUUUUGCACUGACUUCAACGCAGACCUGAGAAAUUUACUUCUCUGCAUGUGGUGCAAUAGUGGAUGCAGAGGCGAGUGUGUUUUUGUGGAGAGGCCGUUGGUUUGACCAUCGUUAACUUUUGGUGCGGAAAAAUGGACGCCUAAGCUUGCGUGCAAGUUUUCCUCGCAUCUUCCUUUCUGAAAAGCUGUACGGAUAAGUGUGGUCGUCUUGAGUUGUGAUUAAGUUCCUCUGGAUUUACUGGCUCUGUACAUCACAGCCUCUGCUAAAUUUUAAGGCAAGUACAAGUGAAGAUAACGUCGAAGACGUGCCGUGCUCCCCUUUCAUCAUUGGCAAAGGGCAGCCGCCGCACUCAACCCUGACAGAGGGAGCAAGGUCGAGAAGUCAAGGAAGCACCGCUGCCUCACACCACAAAUGACCAACUUAAAGCUCUGCGAGACUAUGAAUGCUAAGUGUUUCAACGAAAAAAUUGCAGUGUCAUUAUGAAUAUACCGUAUUUACUUGAAUAUAAGCCGAUUUUUUUUUUUCGAAAAAAUGAUGUGCGAAAGUGGGGGGGGGGGGUGUCGGCUUAGAUUCGAGUAUAAUGCUUAAGCUUUUUUUUUCUGGCCUUGCGCAUUUCGUGGGUCGGCUUAUAAUCGGGGCCGGCCUAGAUUCGAGUAAAUACGGUAUAGCUACACAUUUUCCAAACCAGUUUGAAUCUACGGUGACAACAUGUACGCAGUUUUCAUUAUUUUGAAGCUGUUUACAUGCAGCAUUUCCUGUGCUUAAAUAAAGAUUUGUUUCUUUUAUCAUGA